CAUGUCUUUUUGAUUAUAAUCUAAAGUCUGGCCUGCCCUAUGAAUAAGUUAUUUUUAAAUGGCUGCGGUACUCUGACCGUGCAAAGGUAGCAUAAUCAUUAGUUUUUUAAUUGGGAACUGGUAUGAAAGGUCGCACGAGAAAAAGACUGUCUCAAUUUAAUUUAAAUUAGAAUUUUAUUUUUAAGUAAGAAAGCUUAAAUAUUUUUAAAAGACGAGAAGACCCUAUAGAGUUUUAUAUAAUUUAGUAUAUUUGAAAGUUAAAGAAUUUUAGAUUUAAUUAUAUUAAAUUAUAUUUGGUUGGGGCAAUUAAAAAAUUAAAUGAAUUUUUUUUAAAUAAUAACAUUGAUAUAUGAUUGAGUGAUCCAUAAUUUAUGAUUAAAAGAUUAAAUUACCUUAGGGAUAACAGCGUAAUUUUUUUUAGAGUACUUAUCGAAAAAAGAGUUUGCGACC
RNAcentral lists this ribosomal RNA (450 nucleotides) under Coprophanaeus sp. dgi1. RNAcentral describes it as "partial 16S ribosomal RNA". Lineage: Eukaryota; Metazoa; Arthropoda; Insecta; Coleoptera; Scarabaeidae. The record is from RNAcentral.